This is a long non-coding RNA of Sitophilus oryzae (rice weevil), 306 nucleotides long. RefSeq lists it as uncharacterized. The transcript has 3 exons. The record is from RefSeq and is a predicted model, not a curated record. Lineage: Eukaryota; Metazoa; Arthropoda; Insecta; Coleoptera; Curculionidae.
UCGGACAACUUUCGAAUAAUUAUUAGUGUUUAUUGCAAAGAAAACUAUUUAAAGUAGUUUUUUAACUAUCUACAAUGGUUCACCAGUGCAUAGUUUGUUAAAGGUGGACUAUUCUAACUCCUGAUUGAUAUUUGGACGUUUUGGAACCCUUUACACUUUUACCCACACUUACCUAUACACCCACACACACACAAUUCACAGACGAGUACAUAUCUGGUGUUUUAAAUAGAGGAAAAUAAACCUUGGAAAAUUUUUCCUUUAGCGUUCCUAUAAAUACUGAGCUUAGACAAUGAUCGAUUUCACUCU